This 460-nucleotide ribosomal RNA is filed under the name uncultured bacterium. RNAcentral's name for it is "partial 16S ribosomal RNA". It matches the Rfam family "Bacterial small subunit ribosomal RNA", at positions 338 to 795 of the family's 1533-position model. The record is from RNAcentral.
CCUACGGGCGGCAGCAGUGAGGAAUAUUGGUCAAUGGACGAGAGUCUGAACCAGCCAAGUAGCGUGAAGGAUGGCUGCCCUAUGGGUUGUAAACUUCUUUUAUAUGGGAAUAAAAUGUUCCACGUGUGGGAUUUUGUAUGUACCAUAUGAAUAAGGAUCGGCUAACUCCGUGCCAGCAGCCGCGGUAAUACGGAGGAUCCGAGCGUUAUCCGGAUUUAUUGGGUUUAAAGGGAGCGUAGGUGGAUUGUUAAGUCAGUUGUGAAAGUUUGCGGCUCAACCGUAAAAUUGCAGUUGAAACUGGCAGUCUGGAGUACAGUAGAGGUGGGCGGAAUUCGUGGUGUAGCGGUGAAAUGCUUAGAUAUCACGAAGAACUCCGAUUGCGAAGGCAGCUCACUGGACUGCAACUGACACUGAGGCUCGAAAGUGUGGGUAUCAAACAGGAUUAGAUACCCCUGUAGUC